RNAcentral lists this long non-coding RNA (717 nucleotides) under Homo sapiens (human). RNAcentral's name for it is "HSALNT0323353". Lineage: Eukaryota; Metazoa; Chordata; Mammalia; Primates; Hominidae. The record is from RNAcentral.
UUACUUGCUGUGCUUCUCUGAGUGCCUCGUGGCCUCUUUAUCACCACCUGUUGAAGGAAAUGUUAGAUCCAGAUAUGGAUGGAAGGUUCUAGGGGCUAAGUGCAUGUUUGAGUGAAAGCUGUAAGAGAGCUAAUGAGCACAGAAUCUAGAAAAAAAAAUAGGCAUCCAGGUAUACACACAGCUGCAUCGUGUCACUGCAAGCGGCUCCCAGAGUUGUUCCUGUUCAUCCAGGAAGAAAGAAAAUCCCGCCAAAGAUUGAGAGAGAUCAAUAAAUGUAUUUCCAAAGAACCUGAAAGAAGAUGUUUCCAUUUGGCUGUCUUACCCUCUAUCCAAGCUCAGAGGGAAAUGCAUUCAAGAACGUUAACGGCCAGCACAAAUUCCAUUCCAAGCCAUGGAGCGGGAAGGGCACAUGAUACCAAGUGUCCCACCAGACGGCCAUCUUGCUAACUAAUACACCUCGGGAUUACAUUUGCAUUUACACAAAAUGUGAGCUUUGGGAGCCAGACGUAUUAUUUUGGUUAAUAGUUUGGCACGUUCUCAGCUUGGAAGCCUGAGCAUAUGUGAUGGGUCAGUAACACAAUAAAAGUAACGGGGAAGCAUUUCUUUCCCCAGUGGUGAAUUUCUACCCUAUUCAGGAAACAGACUUCCCAACUCAGCCAUUACAGCUGUCUGGAUCGUUCAUACCAUUUGCUGUUAAAUAUACCCAAGUAGGAAAAA